GAUGAACGCUGGCGAGAUGCUUUACACAUGCAAGUCGUACGAGAGUUUUAACUCAAGUGGCGGACGGGUGAGUAACACGUAAGAAUUUGCCUUUAGGAGGGGGACAACAAUUGGAAACGAUUGCUAAUACCCCAUAUGCUUUUGAGUGAAAUGGAUUUUUCCGCCUAAAGAGAAGCUUGCGGCUGAUUAGCUUGUUGGUAAGGUAAUGGCUUACCAAGGCGACGAUCAGUAUCUGGUUUGAGAGGACGAUCAGACACACUGGAACUGAGACACGGUCCAGACUCCUACGGGAGGCAGCAGUGGGGAAUUUUCCGCAAUGGGCGAAAGCCUGACGGAGCAAUCUCGCGUGAGGGAUGAC
Molecule: ribosomal RNA, 358 nt
Filed under: uncultured bacterium
Lineage: Bacteria
Description: bacterial SSU rRNA
Rfam family: Bacterial small subunit ribosomal RNA
Source: RNAcentral